RNAcentral lists this transfer RNA (72 nucleotides) under Camelus bactrianus (Bactrian camel). It matches the Rfam family "tRNA". From Rfam's summary of the family: Transfer RNA (tRNA) molecules are approximately 80 nucleotides in length. Their secondary structure includes four short double-helical elements and three loops (D, anti-codon, and T loops). RNAcentral also lists the same sequence under 2 other names. Lineage: Eukaryota; Metazoa; Chordata; Mammalia; Artiodactyla; Camelidae. The record is from Rfam by way of RNAcentral.
GAGGGUAUAACUCAAUGGUAGAGCUCAUGCUUGGCGUGUAGAAGGUCCUGGGUUCAACCCCCAGUACCACCA